UCUAGUCUUUUGUCAAAGUAGUGAUGUGCAAGGGAAAAUGUGAUUGGCUCUUUGUCUUUGGACUGACGUCACUGGUGGAUACAGCGUGAGCGCGCAUUUUCGAAUGGCUGCUGAUCACUAUUCCAGAAAGAUCAAAGCAAGGCCAACCAGGAUUAGAUGAAAAUGUGUAUCAAGAAUUCAACCAGAUAGUUAGAAAGAAUCUUAAGCAAGAAUUCUAUGGGUCUCUUGAUCCUCACUGUCCACAGCUGAUCCAGAUCUUCAGGUCAAAGAGAGGUCUUACUGUGUUGCCAUUGAGUGCUUCCAGUACUUCUUGGUGAUGACCCAACUGAGUUCUUCAAAGCAUGUUUUCUUCAGAUUAUGGAGACUCAUGCCAACAUGUGCCCACUGGAUUCCUUAACCGAGAAAAUUAAGAUGUGGCUCUGCAACCCCUGUCCUUCCGCCUCCACCCAUCCUCAGUGGGAAUCAUCUAGGAGGGGAAUGUUGAAAUGGACAAUAUACCCCAGGCCAUGUAACUUUUUGGAUUAACCUAUGAACUACACCUAGGCUACCCAAAGUGCAUGGACAAUACCCUUCUUUUCAUUCAACAAGUUUGGGUAAGAAGACGCUGAAGGGUAAGAUUCUGGCUGUUAAAAUCAACUUGCCAUGUAAAAAGGUACAGAAAAGGCAUAUUCCUUCAGACUUGCUGUCCUAAUUGUGAGAUCAAAAUUUUUUUAAACUAUGCCUUAGUGUUUGGCAAGUGUUAAUAUUCCAUAAUGUUACAAUUUAAUAACAUACUGUGGUUGUUUAUGAUUUGUAUGUGUUUGUAAAAAUUGUUUAAAAGAUUUUAAGCAAUUGUUUUAAUACGAUUUAUAACAAUAAAUAUUGACUAAUUGUUGUA
This is a long non-coding RNA of Danio aesculapii, 877 nucleotides long. RefSeq lists it as uncharacterized. The transcript is spliced from 4 exons. Lineage: Eukaryota; Metazoa; Chordata; Actinopteri; Cypriniformes; Danionidae. The record is from RefSeq and is a predicted model, not a curated record.